Molecule: ribosomal RNA, 464 nt
Filed under: uncultured bacterium
Lineage: Bacteria
Description: bacterial SSU rRNA
Rfam family: Bacterial small subunit ribosomal RNA
Source: RNAcentral
CCUACGGGACGCACCAGUGGGGAAUAUUGCACAAUGGGCGCAAGCCUGAUGCAGCCAUGCCGCGUGUGUGAAGAAGGCCUUCGGGUUGUAAAGCACUUUCAGCGGGCAGGAAGGCGAUAAGGUUAAUAACCUUGUCGAUUGACGUUACCCGCAGAAGAAGCACCGGCUAACUCCGUGCCAGCAGACGCGGUAAUACGGAGGGUGCAAGCGUUAAUCGGAAUUACUGGGCGUAAAGCGCACGCAGGCGGUCUGUCAAGUCGGAUGUGAAAUCCCCGGGCUUAACCUGGGAACUGCAUUCGAAACUGGCAGGCUAGAGUCUUGUAGAGGGGGGUAGAAUUCCAGGUGUAGCGGUGAAAUGCGUAGAGAUCUGGAGGAAUACCGGUGGCGAAGGCGGCCCCCUGGACAAAGACUGACGCUCAGGUGCGAAAGCGUGGGGAGCAAACAGGAUUAGAUACCCCUGUAGU